GACGAACGCUGGCGGCGUGCCUAAUACAUGCAAGUUGAGCGCUGAAGGUUGGUCCUUGUACCAACUGGAUGAGCAGCGAACGGGUGAGUAACGCGUGGGGAAUCUGCCUUUGAGCGGGGGACAACAUUUGGAAACGAAUGCUAAUACCGCAUAAAAACUUUAAACACAAGUUUUAAGUUUGAAAGAUGCAAUUGCAUCACACAAAGAUGAUCCCGCGUUGUAUUAGCUAGUUGGUGAGGUAAAGGCUCACCAAGGCGAUGAUACAUAGCCGACCUGAGAGGGUGAUCGGCCACAUUGGGACUGAGACACGGCCCAAACUCCUACGGGAGGCAGCAGUAGGGAAUCUUCGGCAAUGGACGAAAGUCUGACCGAGCAACGCCGCGUGAGUGAAGAAGGGUUUCGGAUCGUAAAACUCUGUUGGUAGAGAAGAACGUUGGUGAGAGUGGAAAGCUCAUCAAGUGACGGUAACUACCCAGAAAGGGACGGCUAACUACGUG
RNAcentral lists this ribosomal RNA (497 nucleotides) under uncultured bacterium. RNAcentral describes it as "partial 16S ribosomal RNA". It matches the Rfam family "Bacterial small subunit ribosomal RNA", at positions 28 to 507 of the family's 1533-position model. The record is from RNAcentral.